ACAAUCCAUUAUUAUAGGGAAGGGUAAGGGAGUUGUAAUUUCUUCUGGUUUUGGGAGUAAGAAGCCUUGGGUUAGAGGCCCUAUGGAUAGUU
RNAcentral lists this transfer RNA (92 nucleotides) under Amborella trichopoda. Its description in RNAcentral is "tRNA AMTR_s00003t00279570". The record is from RNAcentral. Lineage: Eukaryota; Viridiplantae; Streptophyta; Magnoliopsida; Amborellales; Amborellaceae.